RNAcentral lists this unclassified non-coding RNA (343 nucleotides) under soil metagenome. Its description in RNAcentral is "partial contains 5.8S ribosomal RNA, internal transcribed spacer 2, and large subunit ribosomal RNA". The stretch from base 1 to 121 matches the Rfam family "5.8S ribosomal RNA", at positions 35 to 154 of the family's 154-position model. The record is from RNAcentral.
GAUGAAGAACGCAGGCGAAAUGCGAUAAGUAGUGUGAAUUGCAGAAUUCAGUGAAUCAUCGAAUCUUUGAACGCACAUUGCGCCUCCUGGUAUUCCGGGAGGCAUGCCUGUUCGAGCGUCAUUAACAACCACUCAAGCUCUUUUGCUUGGUCAUGGUAGAUGAGUGUGCUUUGUGCACUCACCUCCGAAUUACAUUGGCGGAAAGCCCCAUGUGCCCCGGCGUAGUAAGUUUUCUUUCGCUUGGACUGUGAGGUGAUCCUGCCACAAACCCCCAAUUUUUCUAGGUUGACCUCGGAUCAGGUAGGGAUACCCGCUGAACUUAAGCAUAUCAAUAAGCGGAGGA